Long non-coding RNA from Numida meleagris (helmeted guineafowl), 1830 nucleotides. RefSeq lists it as uncharacterized. The record is from RefSeq and is a predicted model, not a curated record. NCBI's taxonomy places the organism in Eukaryota, Metazoa, Chordata, Aves, Galliformes, Numididae. The transcript is spliced from 3 exons.
CGCCCACUCGGCCCUGCCCCGCCCGCGGCCGGAGGCGCUACUGGGGCCGCUCGCCGAGGGGAGCCCGGCUGCGGGACAUAACGAGAUGUGAGCUGUAUGCAAGAUACCAUAGGAUGUGGAAGAGCACCGCAGCACAGGCCUGAGACAAGGACAGAGAAGCAAAGUCUUCAGAACAGGAAGUUUACAACUGCUGUUCAGUCUUGAAGAGAAAUUCUGUUGCCAAUACUUUUUUUCAAGUGAGCACUUCAAAACCAAACAAAAAUGCUGCUCCCUUGUAAAACAGUCAGGGAGUCAAUUAUCAGGAGAGUGACAUAUCAAUUACUACGAAAUUCACCAUCUUUCAUGAAGAUGUAAUUAAUUUACAUGUGCUUGUAAAUUGUUUGGAGCUGUUAUAUUUAUACAUUGUCUACCACGGUAUCACCAAGGUGUUAAGGUCUCUGUGUGAUCACAAUACCAAAAAACCAAUAAUCAGUUGUGUUUGUCUCCAUAGUGGCUGUAUUCCCUCAUGUAUGAGAAAGUAUUACUGGCUUUGUGAAGGCCCUGCUGAAGGCUCUGGGAAGGCUGCUGUAGUAUAAGACUCAGAAAUUCAGUGUGAUUGUAGAAUUUGUUAAUUUAAACUGCAAUUACACUUUUUAGCCUUAGCAAGGAAGAUCUGAUGUUACUGACCUACCUCUUCCUCACUGUUUUUGUGGGGGUAUUUUUCUCCUUUAACUAUUGUUAUUCCAUUCUGAAAGAAGUAUCUGUUCAUCAUUCAUCCCCAAAGCAUAUGUUCUGAAAUUUGCUUAAGUUAUCAGGUGUUAUUUCUGCUAACUUUAGGAUAUUUUGAAUCAAAUCCCCAUUUUAACUUAUCAGAAAAUGGCCACUCAUGAUUAGUUUCAAAGUGGCUUGAUGACUCAGGCAGAUAUUCAGUGCAUUACACAUUCUGCAUGACCCUUUAUCUGUGUACACAUUGUGUAUGUAAUUUAUAUGAAGCUUGUAAUUUUAUUUAUUUAUUUAUUUAUUUUGUGGUGCUGAAUAAACUCCAGCUCAGUUGCACUGAGCAGUAUGGAAAUGUUAGUCUACAGGUGAAAUCAGUCAGUAGAAAUGUGGUUCUCAAAAAGUUUUGGUGUUCAUCCCCUGUGUAUGACCUACCUGGCUUAAGGAUUUCUGGAGCCUAGAAGCUGUAUCUUGACCAUUGCUUUUAUCGUCACCCAUGGCCCCUAUUACCCAAUUAAUUCUCCCAAAGCCUCUCCCACACACCUAAACUCUUUGAUCCUUUUGCAAUCAAUUCCACAUUUCAUGAUGAGUUGUACGAAAAUAAAUAAAUAAAUACAAUUUCUUUCACUUCAGACCUGGCAAUUUGGGUGCACCUUAACUUUGGUAUUGUGAGAAGUAGAGCUUAAUCACUGUUCCUGCUCCUUUUAGUCUCUAUUUAAGAAUUUACAGACCUUUCAUACAUUCCCUUUCAGUGGUCUCUACAUCAAGUUAAAACGCUAGUCUCCCCUCAUAUUGAAGCCAUUUCAUAUGGCUGAUCACCUUUCCUGCCCUCCUCUGUUCUUUUAGUAGUUCUACUACAUCAUUUUAGAGAUGGUAGUAAUGGGUUUCUGCAAUGCAUUAGAGGUGUAUGUGCGACAGGGAUUUGUUCAGCGGUACCAUGAUGUUCUGUCUAUUGUUUCCAUAUAGUUUCUAAAAUGCUGCUUGCUUUUAUGGCUGCUGCUGAACAGGGAAUAAGCUCUGACUCCAGGCACAGUUUAUUGAAUGGCAACAGCUAAUUUAAAACCUGUCACUGUAUCUGUAGAUAUGCAGAGUAAUUCUGGAAACUUCACUCAAAGUAAUGUGGUGAAUGGAGAU